Molecule: ribosomal RNA, 758 nt
Filed under: uncultured prokaryote
Description: bacterial SSU rRNA
Rfam family: Bacterial small subunit ribosomal RNA
Source: RNAcentral
CGAUUGCGNAGGCAGCUUGCUGGACUGUAACUUACGCUGAGGCACGAAAGCGUGGGGAUCAAACAGGAUUAGAUACCCUGGUAGNCCACGCCGUAAACGAUGANUGCUAGCUGUUAGCGAUAUACUGUUAGCGGCACAGAGAAAUCGUUAAGCAUUCCACCUGGGGAGUACGCCGGCAACGGUGAAACUCAAAGGAAUUGACGGGGGCCCGCACAAGCGGAGGAACAUGUGGUUUAAUUCGAUGAUACGCGAGGAACCUUACCUGGGCUUAAAUUGCAGUGGAAUAACGUGGAAACAUGUUAGCCUUCGGGCCGCUGUGAAGGUGCUGCAUGGUUGUCGUCAGCUCGUGCCGUGAGGUGUCGGCUUAAGUGCCAUAACGAGCGCAACCCUCAUCGAUAGUUACUAACAGGUUAAGCUGAGGACUCUAUCGAGACUGCCGACGUAAGUCGUGAGGAAGGUGGGGAUGACGUCAAAUCAGCACGGCCCUUACGUCCAGGGCUACACACGUGUUACAAUGGGGGGUACAAAGGGCAGCUACCUGGCGACAGGAUGCUAAUCUCAAAAACCUCUCUCAGUUCGGAUUGGAGUCUGCAACCCGACUCCAUGAAGCUGGAUUCGCUAGUAAUCGCGCAUCAGCCACGGCGCGGUGAAUACGUUCCCGGGCCUUGUACACACCGCCCGUCAAGCCAUGGGAGCCGGGGGGACCUGAAGUAUGCAACCGUAAGGAGCGUCCUAGGGUAAAACUGGUGACUGGGGCU